AUGGCCGCCGAAGAGAUAAAAGCUUGGGGAUAAAUUGUAUGCAGCGAUUUUGUGGUGUUUCGCAAUUUGAAGAGGAUGUAGAUCUGGUGUUACAGAUACCUUUACAGAAACUGUAAUUAGGGAUGUGAUUUAUGAAGCCAUUUCAUAAAUGUGUCGGACUCCAGUAAAGGAAAGGUCGACAAAGCACUCGACGCUUCAAAUUUCGCGCACCUGCUUCCACGCUACCCACUGAAUUGAUUUUUAGUGGUUCGAAUUGUUUUGUGAGACCGUAUCGGUUCGGCUAAAGGCGUUUAUUUCUUACUAGGGUCUUGUUGAAAUCAAAAACAAUGUUUAUUGAAACUCUUGAAUUCACUAUUCCAAUUGAUUUGUGUAGUUUAUGUGCUACUCUACAGAAGGGAAGCUCCGAUAUGGAAUUCCCGGCUUCCGUCAACUCUUACGGCACAACACAAGAUGCAAACAUUUCGGUUCUUGUAAAAUCAAAUAAAUUGACUUUCAAAGUUGAUGGCGUGUCAUCAGGUGCAAGUGUGAUAUCAAAAAGUGAAUGCAAAACAUUGAAACUAUCAGUCUUUGAUGUAGAUAGAUCACUGAUGCCGCAGGAAAGCACAGACUUUGAUCUAAAUUCUAGCAGUGUGGAUCAUUCAUUACCAACUGUAAACCCAGGCAAAAGAACUCAUGAACAGUCUGUUACAAUGCCAGUGCAAGCAAAAUCAAGUAGAAAUUCAUUUCAUGACUCUCCGAAGAGGACAAAAACCAAAUCUCCAAACCCCCGUCGAGGGUUCAGCUUUCAGAACAGUCAACAUUCGUCCAACAACAUAAGACCACUCGGUAAUGUUACAGUUAAAACAGAGCCAGGAGAACCUGACUUGAUAGAAAUCGAGCCUCCUCCACAGACUGCUGAUGGUGUCAAGAAAGAAGUUCCAUACAUGCAAAUAGACUUUUCAUCAGAUGUACCUCACACGCAAACGUCCCAAUCAGCUUUAGAUCGACUUUCUCAUACACAGCCCACUCAUUCACCCGGUUCUUCAUCCUCAUCGUACCAACAAAAUGUUCCACAUGUGCCAGAUUACACCAAACCCAGUACUAGUCAAGCAGGAUAUAGUGACCAAAAUGCAGAUGACUUUUUAGUAUUCCAGGAUGAAAACGACGAUGGCGAUGACAACGAAGUUGAUUUCAGCAAUGACGGUCAUGGCUUGAGUUCAGAUCAGGAUUUGUCCAGACAUUCAGGUCAAGGUCAUUUGUUUUACCCCAUUGGACAACAGUCCCUUGACCCGAGACUUACAUUUUCUGACAAUUCAGAAACAUUUUCCUCCAUGAAACGGCAGUGGCAGUGCGAUGAAUGUGGCAAGAGUUUCACCAAUCCUAGCAACAAGAAGUACCACAUGGAGGCUGUCCAUGGGAUAGGGAAUGUCAAGACAUAUGUGUGUGUUUGUGGGAAGGUGUACAAGUACCCCCGCGGGCUGUUUGGUCAUAGGAAGAAGUGUGCCAUAGCGAUGGAGCAUGGAAACAAUAUAUAAUCAGGUUUGGGACUGAUUCCAAGCCAGACUUUAUCAGGGGCAGAUAUCCAGGCUAUAUCGGGGGCAGAUAUCAACGCUGACUUUGGGAAAAUAUAUGGAAGUUCAUUUACUAAGAAUUUUGACGAAUACCUUUCUUUGCCGCUUGGUGACAGUACUUCGUUGAAAAGACUUUGGCAGUGCGAACAUUGCGGCAAAACAUUCACAAAUUCCAAUAACAAAAAGUUUCACAUUGAGGCCGUCCAUGGAACUAAGACUUACACUUGUGUUUGUGGGAAGCAGUAUAAAUAUCCGUGUAACUUGAUCAGACACAGGAAUGACUGCUCUGUGGCCAAACAAGUUGCCAGUCAAUCCGACAGUGUACAACAAUAGUCUUCAUCUGACAGGUUUCGGAAUCCGAUGGAACCAAAGGUCCAACAACCACUCUUACCAUGACAUGUACAGAGGAGAAGAUUCUAGAACUAUACUGUCUUCACAGCAGGUCCUACCUUUUCUCAGUAAAACAAUGCAACUAUUUCCCGAUGAUUUCUCUGUGGACUGUAACAAGAAAGGGCUGUAUGUCUGCGAACACUGUGGCAAGACCUUCACGCGACCUCAGAACAAACAGAUCCACGUGGAAAGUGUCCACGGCAACACGACAUAUUCCUGUGUCUGUGGUAAAGUGUACCGACAUCCUAGAGCCUUGCAGAGACACAAGAAGACAUGUUCGGCUUGUCACUCAUGACAUGGUCAUGGAAGGGAAAUCUUUGUAAGUCGGAGAAAUAUAGAGAAACAUGUUCACAGAUGACAGCUUCUGGUGUCCAUGGAAACGUGGUUGAUGCCACGAGGAUGAGCAGCAGAUGUCAGACUCCCUGGUACAAGAAAUAUGGAUGACAUUGUUCAUAAUGCUUUGUUGCAGACUUGUGAAGAUCUGAGUUGGAAUUGGUCCACAGCAACUUCCUCUUGUCAUAAAAGGCAACUAAUGG
RNAcentral lists this unclassified non-coding RNA (2476 nucleotides) under Haliotis rubra (blacklip abalone). RNAcentral's name for it is "transcription factor SFP1-like, transcript variant X8". Lineage: Eukaryota; Metazoa; Mollusca; Gastropoda; Lepetellida; Haliotidae. The record is from RNAcentral.